GCAGGGGGCAAUCCCAACCCCACCACCGGGAACACCCAGGCCAAAAGAACGGGAGUUACACUCAAAGUCUUCCCCCUUCUUAUCACUCCUGCCGAUUUCCCUCUUCCUUUUUGCACGCCUCCACUCUUCCCCACCGGAAACGCCGCCCCUUCCUCCUACAGUUCCUCCCAGCAGUCCCUCAACGCUUGUCUUCCCUCGCGCGUAGAGAGUGACUCGAAGGACCGCCUCUCCUCUUCGCUGCAGCCCCUCCCCAUGCACGCUGGGAGACUCUUGGAGGGGAUAAGACACUGUUCUGGUUAUGAUGGACACCACAAUGAAAGAGACCUGGUCCCUGUCUUGAGGAAAUCCAACUGCUGGUAGAGAGCUCAGAGUAAUGAUUAGGAUGCAAUAUGAGGGAUGCAGUAAUUGGGAUCUACUUCUGGGAACCGUCACAGCCUGAGAAAGAUGGCAUGCCCUGAAUGGAAUUCACAGAGAAUUAUUUUAAGUCAUGCUACUGGCCCCGCCCAGUUAUGUAACAACUUGCAUUUCCUCAAUUCUCUGGAAUGUGGCCAGUCAGGAACUUCCACAUUUGGUUUUUUUUUUUUUUUUCCCCCCAUUUGUGGGUAAGAAAGUAAAAGAGGCAGGAAAACUGAAUUGAGAAAGAAGAAAGAAUAGGGGAAGAGAGAAAGAAAAAAGAAAACCAUGAAGCCUGGAAGAGGAGAAAGAAGAGAUAGAUGAGCAAAGAAGCACAUUGCCUGGUGGUAGUAAUAGUUGUCAGACACCCAUCUAUUAUAAUCUGUUUUCCAUGGGAGAUUUUAAGAAGAGGCUAGAUCCCCAGUCUGUCUUAAAAUCAAGAAAAGGGACUCUGUUGCCUCUAAAGUAUACUUCCAGACUCAGCAAUCUCUAAAUUCUGAGUGGGGCAUCCCUAGUUUUGCUGCCUAAAAUCUAUGACAGUUGGAAAUGAUUCCAUUUAAGAUCCAGUUCAAGAAGCUAUACACCCUGAGGAACUUUAUAUUGCCAUUUAAAGGACUGAUAUUCUCCAGAUUGCUUGAGCCCAGGAGUUCGAGACCAGCCUGGGCAACAUGGCAAAACUCCAUCUCUACCAAAAAAAAAAAAAAACAAAAUUAGCUGGGCAUGGUGGUACACAUCUGUAGAACCAGCUACUCUGGAGGCUGAGCUGAGAGAACCCCUUGAGCCUAGGAGAUGGAGGUUGCUGUGAGCCAAGAUCGUGCCACUGCACUCAAGCCUGGGUGACAGAGCCAGACCCUAUCUCAUAAAUAAAUAAAUGUCAAUAUUCUC
RNAcentral lists this long non-coding RNA (1278 nucleotides) under Pan troglodytes (chimpanzee). RNAcentral's name for it is "long non-coding RNA NONPTRT001360". Lineage: Eukaryota; Metazoa; Chordata; Mammalia; Primates; Hominidae. The record is from RNAcentral.